CCCCUUUCCUGUCUCCGUGAGACACUUCUUACAUGCUGUUACUUGCGCCGCGCUUCUUCACAGCAAGUGGAUGAGCGCCGGAGGAGCAGCCUAAAUGAAGCCACAGGAACACCGCGUGAGAUGCGGCUCGGCUCGACCCCCUUUUACGCACGGCAGAAGAUGUGACUUGCUUCGAUUGUGUCUGAAGAAGGCUGCUGGUAACUGAUCCCGGUGUGUUCCCCUGUCAGACGGAGAGCAUAAAGUUAGCCUCAGACGUUUAUACCUCCGCAAAAAUCAUGGGGAAGAAGAACUUGCCUGCGCGAUGGAGACUUCCAGCGUUGGUCAUGUGGCUCAUCCUCCUUUGCGCACAGGAUGCACUCGCCAAAACUCUCCAGUGUAAAGAGAAUCAGUACCUUAAAGACUCCAAGUGUUGUGACAAAUGUCGACCAGGUAAUUACACAUACAAAAAAUAACAAUAAAUAAUGUGUACAAGAAUGGAACAGGGGGAAAAUAUAUAUAAAUAUUAAAAAAAGAGAGGGAAGGGAUGUUAUGACUAAAACAUGAUUCUGCAAAGCACACUUAGGGCUUGAAUUUGAUGACAUUCCAUACAGUUUAUAAAUAAACACAUCUCCCUUUCUGAUUCUGCUUUUUUUUAAUUUUAUUUUUUAGGUUACUAUGUGUACUCUCACUGUACUGAUUCUCAGCGGACUAAAUGUGUCAAAUGCAAUCGUGAUGAAUAUCAGCCUGUCUGGACAGAAGAAAUGCAGUGCGUUCAGCAGAAGUUCUGUGAUCCAGGUAAGGGUUUUAUGGUGAAUAAAGAGAACCCUGUGGCUGAGGAACCAUGCCGCUGUAGGCCCAACUUACAGUGUUACCACAUCAAUUGUGAAUUCUGCGAAAAACUACCCACCUGUAACCCUGGUUCUGGCCUCGAAGAUGACCCCGGUGAGGUUUUCCAACAAGAAUCAAAGUUUAAUGGAAUUACCACAAAGAGAUGUCUUUCAGAAAUAAUAACUGAGAAUCUGUUUGCUUCCCUUCAGGCUCGACUAAUGGAAGAAAGAUCUGCACUCCAUGCAAUAGCGGCUUUUUCUCCGCUCAUCGUAAUUCUGAGCAAUGCAAAGAGUGGACCAAUUGUAAGGCAGAGGGAAGAAGUGAGACGCAGCCGGGCAGCAGCCGGGCGGAUGCAGUGUGUGGACCUCCUGACCCCGAAUCUGAAGAGGACCAGAAUUCAACAGGAGACUUUGGCCCCUCUUUACCACAGUGCACCAGCAGGUGGAGGAAUUGAAGCAGCUCCUGGAGAUCCCAGAUGUUUCCCGUGUCAAGAGACUAAACUCGUCUGUCAAGACCCCCACAGUCCUGAGAAUGAGCCCCUCCGCCCAUCCGCCUCCAUCGGUGCCAGCGCCUGCCUGCUGUUACCAGAGCAACCAACAGAAAAAGGAGGGAUGGAGGAAAAGACGGCUGCAGAGACUCAGAGCGAGGGAUCUGGAGAACCAGAAGAGGUGUCAGAAGAAGACUUUUCAAGUGUCUCUCCACUUUUGGCAGGUUCCUGUGUGUGUGUCAUUCCAGUCUGUGAGCCACUGGAAGUAGGGGAGAAUGAGGACUGUAGCCAGGCUGUGAGUCCUGGGAUGACAGGAACCUGCUUGUGUGGGGCUCUGGAAGAUGGAAACGAGGACAGAAGCAAAAGGCUGCGAGAAAGGGCCAAUGGAAGUCAAGAAAAGAUGGCUUUGACCACAAGUGAGACGUGUGAGGUUCCUCUGACCUCCUGUGGGGUUCCACCAUCCAGUCCUCCUGAACGCUGUCUGCCAGCCUCCCAGGCUCAGGUGAUGGAGCAGCCCAGAUCUGACCUGACGGACGGAUCACCGGUAAAAACAGUGGAAUUAUACACACAGACAAGUUUACACUCCACCUUUAAAGGAAAUAGCACAACCUCCACUGUGACUUUAGCCAGCCCCUCAUUAACUUCUGCAUCGGUUGGAGAUCUUUACCUGGAAAAGCCGCCUGAGUCCUCAAGCGCAGAUCAAAGCCUGGGACCUUCCUGGAGGAAUAGCAGGGAGAAAAGGUUUCCUCUGGGAGACUCGGAACUGGAAUGUUCACCAGAGAGUCUCCACAGUCAGCUGGCUGAACCAACUCCUACCUCAGGUCUUGUGUCUGGAAACAACAAUACUACCUUCAUCUCCAGCGGUCAGGUGAUGAAUUUCAGCGGUGAUGUCAUUGUCGUGUGUGUCAGCCAAACAUCUCAUGACGGUGACGAGGAGAGGCAGGGUGACGCUAUUGGGAGCCCUGUGCAGGAGGAGUCUAGCCAAACGGCGCAGUUUUUCCAGAGCAGGUGUCGAUCACAAGGGAACUACACUACCCAUAACACCUUGCAAGAACUGACAAUGCCAAUGAUGCAGGGAAAGUAAAACAAAAUAGUGGAGGACACCAACCAUCUCUGCAGCUGUUGGACAAACUUGCACUACUGAACAUUUUGAUGGUAACAUCAGUGCUGCAGCUCCCAGUGAGAUUGGAGUGAUUCAUAUAUGAAAUUUCACAAAGAUUCUUCAGUGGAAUUUCUUCUGGAAGUUGUUUUUCUAAAUACAUUGAAUGGAUCUUGCCUGACAUUUAUUUCCAGCUGAAAGCUACAGUGGAAACUCCCUUUUGAGACCAUUUUGGGGAAUUUUGAAUUGUUAUAGAAUUUGGGUUCAGACUGGAAGAGCAAAACAUUUGUUGCUCAGACUCAGUUGUAAAAUGUGUAUUUCAUUUUUUACUUUUGACUAAAAAAGUCCACCUUUUGGAUUUAUUCACUUUAAUGUUAUGUCUGGAUAAAUUUAAGACUUUUUUCCUACGGUUUUUCAGUGUUUAAAGAAAUCAACUUACUUUUUCCAGUAAAAUAUUGUUGAAUUGAUUUAAAAGUUGUUUAAAAUUCAAAUGGAUUUUUUAACAUUUUACUGAAUCUUUGCUUAUUUUAUAUGCGCAUGAUUUAACUGAGGCAAACAAAGUACAUCAAGUUUUGAUGUGAGGCUUGUUUAGCUAUUACAUAGACUGUACAUAGACUUUUUAUAAGACCACAAAUGCGGUUUUGGUCAAAAAAUAAAAUGCUAUGCAUUUGAUAAGCUACCUUAUUA
This 3080-nucleotide long non-coding RNA is filed under the name Oryzias sinensis (Chinese medaka). Its description in RNAcentral is "lncRNA (ENSOSIG00000019874.1)". Lineage: Eukaryota; Metazoa; Chordata; Actinopteri; Beloniformes; Adrianichthyidae. The record is from RNAcentral.